AAAGAGUGAAUCUUCGGCAAUGGACGAAAGUCUGACCGAGCAACGCCGCGUGAGUGAAGAAGGUCUUCGGAUUGUAAAGCUCUGUUAUUAGGGAAGAAAGAGAUUAGUAGGAAAUGACUAAUAAGUGACGGUACCUAAUGAGAAAGCCACGGCUAACUACGUGCCAGCAGCCGCGGUAAU
This 180-nucleotide ribosomal RNA is filed under the name uncultured bacterium. RNAcentral describes it as "partial 16S ribosomal RNA". It matches the Rfam family "Bacterial small subunit ribosomal RNA", at positions 352 to 524 of the family's 1533-position model. The record is from RNAcentral.